GGGGGGGGGGGGGGGGGGGGGGGGGGGGGGGGGGGCGGGGGGGGGGGGGGGGGGGGGGGGGCUCGGAGGUUAGCGGCGGACGGGUGAGUAACGCGUGGAUAGCCUACCUGUAAGACUGGGAUAACGUCGGGAAACCGGAGCUAAUACCGGAUAAUAUUUUGACCCGCAUGGGUCAAACGUGAAAGACGGUCUUGCUGUCCCUGAUAGAUGGAUCCGCGCUGCAUUAGCUAGUUGGUAAGGUAACGGCUUACCAAGGCAACGAUGCAUAGCCGACCUGAGAGGGUGAUCGGCCACACUGGAACUGAGACACGGUCCAGACUCCUACGGGAGGCAGCAGUAGGGAAUCUUCCGCAAUGGGCGAAAGCCUGACGGAGCAACGCCGCGUGAGUGAUGAAGGUCUUCGGAUCGUAAAACUCUGUUAUUAGGGAAGAACAUAUGUGUAAGUAAAUGUGCACAUCUUGACGGUACCCAAUCAGAAAGCCACGGCUAACUACGUG
This 497-nucleotide ribosomal RNA is filed under the name uncultured bacterium. RNAcentral describes it as "partial 16S ribosomal RNA". It matches the Rfam family "Bacterial small subunit ribosomal RNA", at positions 27 to 507 of the family's 1533-position model. The record is from RNAcentral.